ACGCGGGGUGGUGACACUCCUCCUCCCACCUCUCUCUCUCUCUCUCGGCGUGAUGCCGACAAAAUGUUGACGAGCCUUCGUAAACGCCGGCGGGAGGGGUUGUGCGGAGGCGUGCGGAGGCGUGCGGGGGGGGGUGGGUGUACCCCACGCGACAAGAGAUACGCGGGUCGCCGAUGGCGUCAUAAAGAUUAAAUGCCAACCGAGCGUGGCGCGAUAUGAAAAGGGGGCGCGCCAUUCGUCUCGCGGGACGUCCCCUGCCCACCGACUUACGGUCUCAGUCGGCUCGCGAGAACAUUUGGAGAGCCGCCUUCCUCCAACCCAACACACGCGACACCAUCCACCCGCCCACCCGAACCGCAAGCCCGGACCAAGCAUCCGCAGCGCGGUGAAGUAUGAUCAACUGACUGUCAUGACCCACACGGUGCGUGGACGUCCUCGUUCAACAGUGGAUUGACAGCAGGACUAUAAAUACACGAGUGGGACGAGCGCUCCUCCAGCGAUCUCCAGCCGCAGACACAGUGGCUGCAGUGAAGAGCGCGGCGGGCCCCGAGAGCCACCGCGGGGACCAGGAGGAUGAGGGCUUGCCGGGACGCUGGUUAAGAGAGAGCCAGAGUGUGUGGUCGGUACGUUGAGCGAGACGGUACGACCUGUUGAGAAGUCAGCAGCACGCGUGUCCGUCCGUCCAUCAGUGCAGAACGAGUUCUCGAGAAGGCGCACCGCCACUCAGUUCGUCACAGGUGCUCGUUGGUGAGCGGGAGCGGUGGCUGUGGCGGUCAGCGCGCUGCGCUACGAACCCGGUGACUCGAAUUCUAAUCCCGCUGACGGCCAGCAACACCGGUGACGAUUACUUGAGCCCAUCCUCGGCCUCCCCUGGGUCGACUCAGCCUCACAGGAGCACCUGGUGUGAACACUCGCACGGGAAGAGGGGUAUGGAAUGAAAGGUGAAGGUGCUGCCCUGCAAACUGCCUGCUCACGCCACUGCUUGUGGAAGGGCCUCCGCUCGAGGGAGUUCUACACAGCCCCAUCUUGUCGUGGUAUUUGGCCUACUCUUCCACGCCGCCGAGACGUUUUGAGAGAGGUGGGGAGCACCCACGCUUUACCCCACCACAAGGGACCGGCCGACCGACGACAUUACAUACCUGGUCAUGAAUAAACUCCUUGGCCACAUCAUCAUCAUCAUCAUCGUUAUCACAUCGUCAUCAUGGCCACCGUCAUUGCCGCGAGCCAUUUGUUUGGUUGCGGUUACACGGGGAGGUAU
Molecule: non-coding RNA, 1258 nt
Organism: Petromyzon marinus (sea lamprey)
Lineage: Eukaryota; Metazoa; Chordata; Hyperoartia; Petromyzontiformes; Petromyzontidae
Source: RefSeq, a predicted model, not a curated record